GCAGUCGGAUUGCGGCUUAUUUGACUCAACACUGGAAAUCUCACCAGGCCCGGACACCUUUAGGAUUGACAGAUUGAGAGCUCUUUCUCGAUUGGGUGGGUGGUGGUGCAUGGCCGUUCUUAGUUGGUGGAGUGAUUUGUCUGGUUAAUUCCGAUAACGAACGAGACUCCUUCCUGCUAACUAGCGCUGCCGUCGCGCCUGCGGCAGCGAAGCAUUCUUCUUAGAGGGACUGGCGGCAUCUAGCCGCACGAGAUGGAGCAAUAACAGGUCUGUGAUGCCCUUAGAUGUUCUGGGCUGCACGCGUGUUACACUGAAGGGCUCAGCGUGUCCUUCCCUGGCCGAGAGGCCCGGGUAACCCGCUGAACCCCCUUCGUGGUAGGGAUCGGAGCUUGCAAUUAUUCUCCGUGAACCAGGAAUGCCCAGUAAGCGCAAGUCAUAAGCUUGCGUUGAUUACGUCCCUGCCCUUUGUACACACCGCCCGUCGCUACUACCGAUUGAACGUUUUAGUGAGGUAUUUGGACUGGGCCUCUGCGGGUUUGCGCCUGCAGUGUUGCUCGGGAAGACUCCCAAACUUGAGCGUUUAGAGGAAGUAAAAGUCGUAACAAGGUUACCGUAGGUG
This 619-nucleotide ribosomal RNA is filed under the name Megacyclops viridis. RNAcentral's name for it is "bacterial SSU rRNA". It matches the Rfam family "Eukaryotic small subunit ribosomal RNA", at positions 1174 to 1811 of the family's 1831-position model. The record is from RNAcentral. Lineage: Eukaryota; Metazoa; Arthropoda; Copepoda; Cyclopoida; Cyclopidae.